This 459-nucleotide ribosomal RNA is filed under the name uncultured bacterium. RNAcentral describes it as "partial 16S ribosomal RNA". It matches the Rfam family "Bacterial small subunit ribosomal RNA", at positions 338 to 795 of the family's 1533-position model. The record is from RNAcentral.
CCUACGGGAGGCAGCAGUGAGGAAUAUUGGUCAAUGGCCGGGAGGCUGAACCAGCCAAGUCGCGUGAGGGAAGAAGGCGCCACGGGUUGUAAACCUCUUUUGUCGGGGAGCAAAACGAGUCACGUGUGACUCAUUGAGGGUACCCGAAGAAAAAGCAUCGGCUAACUCCGUGCCAGCAGCCGCGGUAAUACGGAGGAUGCGAGCGUUAUCCGGAUUUAUUGGGUUUAAAGGGUGCGUAGGCGGAGUGGCAAGUCAGCGGUCAAAUUGCGGGGCUCAACCCCGGACUGCCGUUGAAACUGCAUGCCUUGAGUGCGCGAGAAGUAUGCGGAAUGCGUGGUGUAGCGGUGAAAUGCAUAGAUAUCACGCAGAACUCCGAUUGCGAAGGCAGCAUACCGGCGGCCAACUGACGCUGAUGCACGAAAGCGUGGGUAUCGAACAGGAUUAGAUACCCUGGUAGUC